This 466-nucleotide ribosomal RNA is filed under the name uncultured bacterium. Its description in RNAcentral is "partial 16S ribosomal RNA". It matches the Rfam family "Bacterial small subunit ribosomal RNA", at positions 28 to 507 of the family's 1533-position model. The record is from RNAcentral.
GACGAACGCUGGCGGCGCGCCUAACACAUGCCAGUCGAACGAGCGAGAGGAGGUUUACUUUCUCAAGCGAGUGGCGAACGGGUGAGUAACGCGUGAGGAACCUGCCUCAAAGAGGGGGACAACAGUUGGAAACGACUGCUAAUACCGCAUAAGCCCACGACCCGGCAUCGGGUCGAGGGAAAAGGAGCAAUCCGCUUUGAGAUGGCCUCGCGUCCGAUUAGCUAGUUGGUGAGGUAAUGGCCCACCAAGGCGACGAUCGGUAGCCGGACUGAGAGGUUGAACGGCCACAUUGGGACUGAGACACGGCCCAGACUCCUACGGGAGGCAGCAGUGGGGAAUAUUGCACAAUGGGGGAAACCCUGAUGCAGCGACGCCGCGUGGAGGAAGAAGGUCUUCGGAUUGUAAACUCCUGUUGUUGAGGAAGAUAAUGACGGUACUCAACAAGGAAGUGACGGCUAACUACGUG